This is a non-coding RNA of Myotis brandtii (Brandt's bat), 73 nucleotides long. The record is from Rfam. Lineage: Eukaryota; Metazoa; Chordata; Mammalia; Chiroptera; Vespertilionidae.
GGCAGUUCUUGAUGACACACCCUGGAAUCGGGCUUCCUCCUCUCUGGUUCCGGUGAGUCACCUGAGAACCGCA